AUGAAGAUGGACGAUUUAGAUCCCGAUGCGGCGAAGAUCGUGCUAAGCCGUCUAUGCAAGGAUGUUGAAGCACUUGACGACAGAGAUGCAAGAGGCGGGCGCCGUGGAGGAGCAAACGGCAAAGUGAUAAGGAAGGAGGCACGGACAACCAGUCUGGGAAUAUCCGUUGUUUAUUACACUUCAAAAGAUUGCAUACAUAUGCACUUUGAUUUCCUCGUCAAAUUGCUAUUAGGAUCAACAUUUGCACUUCAAAUGUAUCCGGAUGAGGCUGGACGUUUUGGGACUUGCACUUCAAAUGUAUCCGGCUGA
Molecule: ribosomal RNA, 309 nt
Filed under: Triticum aestivum (bread wheat)
Lineage: Eukaryota; Viridiplantae; Streptophyta; Magnoliopsida; Poales; Poaceae
Description: partial small subunit ribosomal RNA
Source: RNAcentral